UCCUAUGUAGGAGGCAGCAGAGACUCUGCUCUCCUCGUUUGGAUUAAUUCUGAUAUAAUAACUGUUGGUUUAUUUAUCGGUGGAGCAGCAGAACCUUUUCCACAGACAGUUUUCCUGCCCGUUGGCUUGUUUUAACCAGUUUUCUGCCUCCAGCUGAUUCUACCAGCAGACACUGAAAAGACUCUGAUAGUUCGAGUGAAAGUAACAGUUCCUCCUGAAGGUCAGAGAUCGCAGCAUCUGAGGGCCUCUUCAAAAGAAGAUGUAGUUGAUGAAGGCGUUCUGGAGCAGGACCAGAAAGACCACGACCAAGCAGCCUUGAGAUCUUAGGCAGCAUCUCCCUCAGGUCCCUCUCUAUCUCCCCACACAUCCACCAACCACUGGAACACAUCUCCAAAGUUCUGCCGGGCCAGCUCAGCUUCCCCUCAGAAGAAGUGGCGCCACCUGCCAGAUGAAGGAGCCUUUUGAGAGGCAGCUGGCAUCGUGAUUGGACUGUACUUUGGUCUGUUCCAAUCCAGCUUCAGCUCCAGAGACGGCAGGCGGGACGAGUCAACGGAGGCCGGGUGGACGAAGUCAUGCAGCUGAGUACAAUCCAGAAAACAACAGAGGAGGAGUGCAGGGCCAGAACAAACAGAGUAGCAUCGUAUGUCUCUUAGAAAACAUCAUAGUAUAGCCUUUGGUAUGAAAAAAACGGCAUCAUAUACAUUGUAUAUUGUACAAAUAACAAGUGAAAGCAAAGAGACAUACAUUGUAGAAUUGUAGUAAUUGUGGGCUGACUGAUUUAUUGAUUAUCGGUAUUUUAUUUUUUACUGAUUUACAGUAAUAAAUACAUUUAAAAAUGG
Amphiprion ocellaris (clown anemonefish) is the source of this 839-nucleotide long non-coding RNA. RefSeq lists it as uncharacterized. The record is from RefSeq and is a predicted model, not a curated record. Lineage: Eukaryota; Metazoa; Chordata; Actinopteri; Pomacentridae. The transcript is spliced from 3 exons.